CAUACUUUUAACCAGGCAGUGCCACUGGAACAUUCUCACACUCCUCAGCUCCUGCAUCCGUCAGCUCAGUUGUGUUGAAGAUGGGUCAACUCAAUAUUGUGGCUGUAAUGGCAGUGCUUUUCACCCUUUUCAUGGAAACUGAAGCAAGUGCCUUUGAUUACAACUAUAAAUCGCUACGAAUUGGAGGCUUAGUCGUGUCCUUCUUGUUGGUGAUGGGAGGACUCAGCGUUUUACUCUAUAACAGAUGCUCCAGAAAGGGAAAAAAAGUGGAGGACGACAACAGUGAAAUCUGAUAUCGCACCUGACAAACCGGUUCUAUCCUGGGGGAAGAAAGUCGACAGACAGGGGUGGAGAGAUCUGGUGUGUGUGUGUGUGGGGGAGAGUAAUGAGGGGGGUGGUUUGGUGGAAACACACCGGCUCAGAUGAUUCUUGUACAGACCUGUUAAAGGAAAAAAACGUUUAUUUAAAUAAAGAAAAAUACUAACUGAGGUGCUGCUGAUUUUGACAAGGGUGGGAACGCAGCCUCAUAGAAGAAUGUGAUGAUGUCAUAAGUGAAGAGCCCCCCCCCCUCAUUAUUUCUUCAUAUAUAUCUGUACUGAUGUGUAAAUCAUCUUUAUUCCUAUAGAAAAAAACCUACACGUCUCAUGUGUGCUGCUUAGUUGAGUCACAUAGUCAUAAUGCUGCAUAUAGCUUCUGAAACUGUGGGAAAUAAAAACAUAAUCUUAUGUGUAGUCAUUGUUCACUUCAUGUUUGCUGUAUGAUCAAGUGGUCCAACAUUUCCUCACUGAAAGGAAUAGAAAACAACAACUUAAAUCAAAUUAAAUGAAAAUAAAUGUCAUUGUACACUAAAUCACAA
This is a long non-coding RNA of Hippoglossus stenolepis (Pacific halibut), 856 nucleotides long. RefSeq lists it as uncharacterized. The record is from RefSeq and is a predicted model, not a curated record. NCBI's taxonomy places the organism in Eukaryota, Metazoa, Chordata, Actinopteri, Pleuronectiformes, Pleuronectidae. The transcript has 7 exons.